This 320-nucleotide RNase P RNA is filed under the name Alphaproteobacteria bacterium. Its description in RNAcentral is "partial RNase P RNA component class A". It matches the Rfam family "Bacterial RNase P class A", at positions 80 to 367 of the family's 367-position model. Rfam says of the family: Ribonuclease P (RNase P) is a ubiquitous endoribonuclease, found in archaea, bacteria and eukarya as well as chloroplasts and mitochondria. Its best characterised activity is the generation of mature 5'-ends of tRNAs by cleaving the 5'-leader elements of precursor-tRNAs. Lineage: Bacteria; Pseudomonadati; Pseudomonadota; Alphaproteobacteria. The record is from RNAcentral.
AACGCCCGCCGGGGGCGACCCCAGGGAUAGCGCCACAGAAAGCAAACCGCCCGCGAGGCUUCGGCUUCGAAGGGUAAGGGUGAAAGGGUGCGGUAAGAGCGCACCGCGUCCCUGGUGACAGGGGCGGCAUGGCAAGCCCCGCCAGGAGCAAGACCGAAUAGGGGUCCCGCGCCCGUCGCAAGACGGGUAGGGCUGUCGCCGGCCCGAGGGACCCGGGUAGGUCGCGAGAACCGGCCCGCGAGGGUCGGUCCAGAGGAAUGAUCGCCGCGCCGGCGUCACACCCGGCGGCACAGAACCCGGCUUACAGGCCGUCUGGUCCC